Molecule: ribosomal RNA, 1150 nt
Filed under: Enterococcus faecium
Lineage: Bacteria; Bacillati; Bacillota; Bacilli; Lactobacillales; Enterococcaceae
Description: bacterial SSU rRNA
Rfam family: Bacterial small subunit ribosomal RNA
Source: RNAcentral
CGUAUAACAAUCGAAACCGCAGGGUUUUGAUUUGAAAGGCGCUUUCGGGUGUCGCUGAUGGAUGGACCCGCGGUGCAUUAGCUAGUUGGUGAGGUAACGGCUCACCAAGGCCACGAUGCAUAGCCGACCUGAGAGGGUGAUCGGCCACAUUGGGACUGAGACACGGCCCAAACUCCUACGGGAGGCAGCAGUAGGGAAUCUUCGGCAAUGGACGAAAGUCUGACCGAGCAACGCCGCGUGAGUGAAGAAGGUUUUCGGAUCGUAAAACUCUGUUGUUAGAGAAGAACAAGGAUGAGAGUAACUGUUCAUCCCUUGACGGUAUCUAACCAGAAAGCCACGGCUAACUACGUGCCAGCAGCCGCGGUAAUACGUAGGUGGCAAGCGUUGUCCGGAUUUAUUGGGCGUAAAGCGAGCGCAGGCGGUUUCUUAAGUCUGAUGUGAAAGCCCCCGGCUCAACCGGGGAGGGUCAUUGGAAACUGGGAGACUUGAGUGCAGAAGAGGAGAGUGGAAUUCCAUGUGUAGCGGUGAAAUGCGUAGAUAUAUGGAGGAACACCAGUGGCGAAGGCGGCUCUCUGGUCUGUAACUGACGCUGAGGCUCGAAAGCGUGGGGAGCAAACAGGAUUAGAUACCCUGGUAGUCCACGCCGUAAACGAUGAGUGCUAAGUGUUGGAGGGUUUCCGCCCUUCAGUGCUGCAGCUAACGCAUUAAGCACUCCGCCUGGGGAGUACGACCGCAAGGUUGAAACUCAAAGGAAUUGACGGGGGCCCGCACAAGCGGUGGAGCAUGUGGUUUAAUUCGAAGCAACGCGAAGAACCUUACCAGGUCUUGACAUCCUUUGACCACUCUAGAGAUAGAGCUUCCCCUUCGGGGGCAAAAUGACAGGUGGUGCAUGGUUGUCGUCAGCUCCUGUCCUGAAAUGUUGGGUUAAUUCCCGCAACGAGCGCAACCCUUAUUGUUAGUUGCCAUCAUUCAUUUGGGCACUCUAGCAGACUGCCGGUGACAAACCGAAGAAAGGUGGGGAUGACUUCAAUCAUCAGCCCCUUAUGACUGGGCUACCACCUGCUACAUGGGAAGUACAACGAGUUGCAAAUCCCGAGGCUAACUAAUCCUUAAGCUUCCUCAAUUCGGAUGGAGGCUGCAUUCCCCGCUG